CCACGCCCCCCAGGGCCACAACCCCACGCUCUGUGACCUCGGGUCUAGCCCCACCCCCACCUGUGUUCCUACAUCCACGCUCCCCACGCCCUGAAUCCCCAAGUCCACGCAGCCCGGGUCAGCUGUUCGCUGCUUCUUUCCUGUCAGUCCUUGGGCUUCGCUGAGGCGUUUUGGAAGCUUGCUGACCCCUCUCGUCUCGCUUUCCUUCAGAUGUGUUUUUCAUCCAUUCGCUGUGGAAGGGAUAUUAUGAAUAUUCAGGGAAAAGAUAGCCUGUGACCCCAACUGUCGAACUGUUUCAACGCAGCGAGCAGCAAAGUGAACAUGACCUACAUUGAAGCCUCCCAGGGGGAUCUGAAGUUGACAGGAAAUGUUCUCCAGUGUGACUCUGGAGAUUUGGGAAAGAAGUUGGAUCAAGGGUUGUUCAUACUGAGGUUUGGACUUGGGAAAGAAGUUGGAUCAAGAGUUGUUCAGACUGAGUCCCAGUGGACAGAAGUCCACCUGCCAUGUAUAGUCUGAUUGGGAAAGACCAUAGAGGAGGAAGUGGAAGUCACGCUUCUGGAGGAUCAACCAGGACCUGGUGUUCUGUGAGGUGCUGAAAUUUAACUGCCAUAAAAAUCUCCUGAAUCUUAUCUAUACUGACAGUUUUUAGAAGUGGGUUUCAGAGUUUUAUUUGUUAAACUGGAUGCCAGGAACACAGAGCUGCUGACUCGGGACAGCAGCCCCGAGUCAACUCGUUAGAUGGUCCUCCUUGUCCGUGGGUCCUUCUCGUCCUCGGGUCCUCCCCAUUCACGGGUCUUUCUUGUCUGUGGGUUCCCUUCCAUCCUGUGCGAUUAGCCAGUGGCCACUCUUCUGUGAUGUUAGAGGGUUGCUUCUGUGAUGGGAGGAAGUGGGAAUUAAUUGCCAGAGUCCCUGAAAUGAACAGUGUGACUUUCCCUUUAACCGGUCUCUCUGCACAGAAGACAUUUGGGUUCAUUGUUGUUAUUAUUUAAUAUCUGUUCAUUUGUUUACUUAUGUAUUUGGUUCCUCCUCUGGGUAGGGAACUAGCCAUGCUGCAAACACAUCCCCCCGCCACCCCACACAUACACCCUGACCCCCUGGACAAAGGCAUUCAGCAAUCAUUCCAAGGACCUUUGUCCUCCAUGCCAUUCAUUUCAUUUUAAUAAGUGCAAUUGAUCUGUAUAAGUAACUGUAUUUGGGGCUAUUGUUAUGGUGUA
RNAcentral lists this long non-coding RNA (1214 nucleotides) under Bos indicus x Bos taurus (hybrid cattle). Its description in RNAcentral is "lncRNA (ENSBIXG00005021347.1)". Lineage: Eukaryota; Metazoa; Chordata; Mammalia; Artiodactyla; Bovidae. The record is from RNAcentral.